Long non-coding RNA from Numida meleagris (helmeted guineafowl), 896 nucleotides. RefSeq lists it as uncharacterized. The record is from RefSeq and is a predicted model, not a curated record. Lineage: Eukaryota; Metazoa; Chordata; Aves; Galliformes; Numididae. The transcript is spliced from 4 exons.
GCUCUGAGGUUGCUCUGCGGUGGGAAAGUGCAAGUGAGCUCCUUCUCUGGUCCCGUUUGACUGAUUUGGACAAUGAGGUGUGGCGGUGGCUUGCAGAAAGUACAGAGAAACAGUGUGAGCUGGAAGGACGGACCCGAGCAGCACUGCAUGCAGGAGGUGCCCUGCUUGCUAAUUGCUGAGCAGGUGGCAAAGCUGUGGCUUAAGAUGAGAGAUGGGGCAAGAGGAAGGACAUCUUUGUGGCUGUGCAGAGGAGCAUGUGUGAAGGGGGUGAGCUGCACACUGUCUCCUGCAGCCCCUCCAUCCUUCUGGCUGCGCUGAACUGGCUUUGCAAAGACCCCUGCAGGCAUUUGCUCAGGAACUGGUGAAAUUACCCUGCCUAAUGGCCUCCAGAAAUGAAUGUACCCAAGCAGAAAGUGUGCCACACAGAUCCCAGGAGCUGCGUGGAGCGAACGGCACGUUGGUUUCUAUGCCAGUCUCAAGGUAGCAGCUGAAGCAUAAACUGGGGAGAGAAAAUGACUUAAUACGCUCAUGCUUUGUUGUUUUGUUUUUGGGCAUUUGUUGUUCAUUUAUUUGUCGGCGCCCCUCCUGGAAAGUGUAUGGAUGGGAGAAGGAGCAUUUGUCCAUUUGUCCCAUCUGCUGUGCUAGCACCUGGGGUCAGCAGGGCUGGGGCUGCCAUCGGCAUGAUGCAGAGGGACCCAGGGCUGGGGCUGAGGCAGCUGUGAGAGCAAGGGUCACCCUCCUGCUGCCUCUGGGAUUAAACCCACAGAUGUUGCCCAUGGACGCCUGUCAGCUGGAUUGGCUCUUUCUGGCUGAGCCUCUCCUCCUGUCCCACUGCAUGGAGAAGAGCUGUCUGUGGGCUGAGCACAUAUUCGGAUUGCCUUUGUCCGAAUGUAGCA